AACGAACGCUGGCGGCAUGCCUAACACAUGCAAGUCGAACGAGACCGUCGGGUCUAGUGGCGCACGGGUGCGUAACGCGUGGGAACCUGCCCUUAGGUUCGGGAUAACUCCCCGAAAGGGGUGUUAAUACCGGAUAAUGUCUUCGGGCCAAAGAUUUAUCGCCUUUGGAUGGGCCUGCGUUGGAUUAGGCGGUUGGUAGGGUAAAAGCCUACCAAGGCGACGAUGCAUAGCUGGUCUGAGAGGAUGAUCAGCCACACUGGGACUGAGACCCGGCCCAGACUCCUACGGGAGGCAGCAGUGGGGAAUAUUGGACAAGGGGCGAAAACCUGAUCCAGCAAUGCCGCGGGAGUGAUGAAGGCCUUAGGGUUGUAAAGCUCUUUUACCCGGGAUGAUAAUGACAGUACCGGGAGAAUAAGCUCCGGCUAACUCCGUG
This 433-nucleotide ribosomal RNA is filed under the name uncultured bacterium. Its description in RNAcentral is "partial 16S ribosomal RNA". It matches the Rfam family "Bacterial small subunit ribosomal RNA", at positions 29 to 507 of the family's 1533-position model. The record is from RNAcentral.